UGGGGAAUUUUGGACAAUGGGCGGCAAGCCUGAUCCAGCAAUGCCGCGUGUGUGAAGAAGGCCUUCGGGUUGUGAAGCACUUUUGUCCGGAAAGAAAACGCCGUGGUUAAUACCCGUGGCGGAUGACGGUACCGGAAGAAUAAGCACCGGCUAACUACGUGCCAGCAGCCGCGGUAAUACGUAGGGUGCAAGCGUUAAUCGGAAUUACUGGGCGUAAAGCGUGCGCAGGCGGUCCGCUAAGACAGAUGUGAAAUCCCCGGGCUUAACCUGGGAACUGCAUUUGUGACUGGCGGGCUAGAGUAUGGCAGAGGGGGGUAGAAUUCCACGUGUAGCAGUGAAAUGCGUAGAGAUGUGGAGGAAUACCGAUGGCGAAGGCAGCCCCCUGGGCCAAUACUGACGCUCAUGCACGAAAGCGUGGGGAGCAAACAGGAUUAGAUACCCCGGUAGUCCUAGCUGUAAACGAUGAGUGCUGGGUGUAGGGGGUGUUAACCCCCCCUGUGCCGAAGCUAACGCAUUAAGCACUCCGCCUGGGGAGUACGGUUCGCAAGGCUG
Molecule: ribosomal RNA, 552 nt
Filed under: uncultured bacterium
Lineage: Bacteria
Description: bacterial SSU rRNA
Rfam family: Bacterial small subunit ribosomal RNA
Source: RNAcentral